CACUGUGCUCUCAGACUGCAGGUCUACUUGUGGUUACAUAGUCUCUAAGAGUCCAAUGGGAGGCGGAGCCUUCGGAUAUCAGGCCCUCUCUAAUGGAACCAGCUUCCAGUUUGGGUU
Molecule: long non-coding RNA, 117 nt
Organism: Melanotaenia boesemani (Boeseman's rainbowfish)
Lineage: Eukaryota; Metazoa; Chordata; Actinopteri; Atheriniformes; Melanotaeniidae
Exons: 3
Source: RefSeq, a predicted model, not a curated record